UUCUCCCUCCCUGGUCCUCGGGGUUGUUUACGGAAGUGCGCGCCGUGGGAGAGGCGUGUCCUGGCGACUGUCGUCAUUGGGAGUCCCCCUUCGCUGUUGCCAGCCCACCUGCAGCUGAUUACCUGACCAGUGGUUGGUAAUCAUUCCUCCAGGCUAGAAAGGGGUAUUUAACCUGGACUCACGGCGACAGUCGACGUGGGAUUAUUACUCCGAACUGGAGGGGCGAGCGGAGAAGCGAGUUGGGGAGCACACACACGAAGGGAGUUACUACACGGAACGCACUGGGAGCAAGGGACGAGCACGAUUGGAAAAUUGCACUUUUGAAUGGAUUGUUGGACUUGUCUGUUUCACUGUAAAUAAACGCACUGUGUUUCUGUGAGCAAGAACCGCGCCUGGGUCCCUCUUUUCCGUGACAGAAUAAUCCCACCACCAUGGACCCAGCGGAUUCUGCUUCACGCCAGCUGUCUAUCCAAGCGGAGGUUUUGGAGCGACACGAGGAAAUGCUGAAGCACGUUUCAAAGGAACAAACCGCGCUUCUGCAAGCCAUGACAGAGCUUAAAGCAAGGUAGGAGGAGUGUUGCUGACUUUUCCGUGGAGUUCUGGAUCCUGGCGGAGGAGUCGGGCUGGGAGGAGAAAGCA
Molecule: non-coding RNA, 639 nt
Organism: Maylandia zebra (zebra mbuna)
Lineage: Eukaryota; Metazoa; Chordata; Actinopteri; Cichliformes; Cichlidae
Source: RefSeq, a predicted model, not a curated record